CGCGCGGUAGACAACCUCGCGGAAAGCUCAGCGGCGCGGCAGCCGCGCUUGUGUGUGGUCUGUCUCGGUCCCGUUCUGGCGGCGCGCGCAGCCCCGAGGGGCACCCCCCCCCGGUUCCAGGGUGGCACCCCCUGCGCCAACCCCGCACGCCGCGUCCGCCACCCGUCGUUCUGCCCUGGCCUGUCCCAACCCCCCCAGUCCGCAAAUGGUGCCUCCGGCUAGGGCGGGCCGAGCCCGCACACCCUCCCCGUUGAGCUGAAGCGCCUGCUCCCGACCUCGGUGGGAGAGACCUGGCCGUUGACCUUUGAGCCCCGCCCUCCCCUUCCCUAAGCCAAGGUCACUGACGUUCGCAGCGGUCGUGGAGGAGGGGGGGGGGUGUCGAUGAGGUCACGCAGGGAGAGUAGGCUGCGGGGAAUGUGGGGACACGAGGCUCCCGCGCCAGCGGAACCCCGUCUUCCCCAGCAGGCCACUCCCGCCAUCCUGCACCCCCAGUCCAGUGGCACCAGACCCUUCCCCGGGACUCGGGACUCGCCACUCUGCUUUCCACCUCCCAGCCUUUGCUCCUCUCAGGCUCUCUGCCUGAAAAGGGGUUUCCAUCCUUCUUGCCCCAUCCGCCUGUCCGUCCUCACUGAUGGAAUCCCCGGGCACAGCAUAGUGUAGGUCCUGUAGCGCACACUCAGUGCAUAUCUGUUCUCUGGGGUGCAUGAGUAUGGAACUCCUGACCCCAGCAUGCUCCCCAGGAUUUAGAGGCUGGUUAAUGGCACGUCUCCCCAGGAGGCCUCCCCAGCACUCAGCCGUCACCAUCUGGAAGAAGACGUAGCCUGCCUGCGGUGGCUUUCCUGAACCAGAACUGCCAGGUGCAGGACCGGGAUGGGCCUGGCGUUCCCAUCUCAGGUGGGAGUAGGUGGCGCUAGUUAGUGCAAGGCACUUUGAAAAUGGCAUGAAGCGCCUACGCUGGCAGUGGGCAGUCAGUGAGCGCUAUAGACAUCGAAAUGCCGGAAAACCAGGCCUCCCCUGCCAACAAACUAUAAAGCCACGCCCCUUUCCUACCCAUCUCCCCCGGGGGCAAAAAAGGAUAAAGAUGGGCAGUCCUUGUCCUUACAGCCCAAGGUCAGGUGGACAGGCACUCAAGAGUCAGACAGGACUGGCAUUUUAAUGCCCAAAGUGUAGGAGUAUGCUUACCUUCGUGCUAGUAGCUGACAUUGGGUUGAGCCUUGGAGGGGCAGGGAGGCAGGCUCCACAGAGGGGCAGACGAAAAUCAAAGCUGGUCCCUGGUGGUGCUGUGGGGUCCCAGCUGCCCCAAGACAGGGCCGAGCAGGAGGCAGUGACCCAUGGAUGGACACGAGUGUCUGUUUGCAGGACUUGGAAGGACACUGGAUUGAGAGGGGAGAGAAGCCCCCUCCUGCCUCUAUUGUGUGAGGCUCCAGGUGUGAAGAAAGGUAGCAGUACUGCUCACCUACCCUUGAGAUUACUCGCCCCUGCCUGACCCAGCCAAGUGAGGUGGGAGGAAGAAGCCAAAAAUAGGGUCUCCCCAGAGCACCCGGGGCCUGUAUUGAGGGCUUCUGGGUACCAUCUGUGACACUGUGAAGCCCAGUGAAUUUUAGAGAAGUUUAUUUUUCAACAAUAACUUACUGGGUUUUCCACUUAUCUAAAAACUGUGUAGUCAUUUCAAGUUUAUAAAAAUAUUAAUAAGUAUAUAAACAAACAUAAAAGUAUGGUACCCCAGCAGCUUGCCAUGAACACCCUGAUGCCAAAUCUGUGGCCGUCAUCCUGACCUGCAUUUCAUCAUGCCAGUUUGUUUUCAUACUGUGACUCUUUUUGCCUUUUUCUUUCUUUUGGGGGAGUUCCUUUUUCCUCUUCCUGCGCUCCCCAUAAAUUGUACACAACCUUCCACAGUCUCUCCAUCUUUACACAAGUGACGAGAGUCGAGAGAAGCAGGGGCAGAUGUCCUGCAGCACAAACGCCCCAGCUAGGGGUGUUAGAGAACCAGGCUGGCGGCUGGCUGACACUGAUUGGCUGUGGCAAGGGCUAAGGUGUGAGCCCAGGAGAAGAGCUUGAGAGCCCUGGGGUUACUGGAAAACAGCACUUGCUAGCCUCCCUUGAAGCUAGAGCUGGGCCUUCAGGGGUGAAGUCUUUAACGUGAAGGUGGCCCCUUGAUCCUUCUGCUGCUUUCUCCCUGCCAAGCACCGUGGGCAAUGGAAUGGAAAGAAAGCCUGGACUGCCACACUCAGGCUUGUUUUACACAACAGAAAACAUUUACCUUCCUUAGGCACUGUUGUUUGAGGGGAUUUCUGUAUGUGAAGCUGAACUCAAGCAUAAUGACUUCACAUUCCAAGAGAGGCUGGAUUGCUGGGUCAGCAUGACUGCAAAUAUAUAUUUUUUGUAAACCUUUAAAGUGAUGAGGUUUUAAUUUUAAAUUUAACUUUUUAACUUUCUUUCACCGUAUUAAAGUGAAGUGACGUGGCCAA
Long non-coding RNA from Hipposideros armiger (great roundleaf bat), 2468 nucleotides. RefSeq lists it as uncharacterized. The transcript has 3 exons. The record is from RefSeq and is a predicted model, not a curated record. NCBI's taxonomy places the organism in Eukaryota, Metazoa, Chordata, Mammalia, Chiroptera, Hipposideridae.